GGGCCGCUGGUCUAGUGGUAUGAUUCUCGCUUAGGGUAACACCCUGAUGUUGACAAAGUUUGUUACACUCUUCUGAGUAUUCAGCUUGCGAGAGGUCCCGGGUUCAAUCCCCGGGUGGCCCC
This is a non-coding RNA of Cercophora samala, 122 nucleotides long. The record is from the annotation of a GenBank genome assembly. NCBI's taxonomy places the organism in Eukaryota, Fungi, Ascomycota, Sordariomycetes, Sordariales, Lasiosphaeriaceae.